Molecule: ribosomal RNA, 258 nt
Filed under: uncultured bacterium
Lineage: Bacteria
Description: partial 16S ribosomal RNA
Rfam family: Bacterial small subunit ribosomal RNA
Source: RNAcentral
UGGCGGACGGGUGAGUAACACGUGAGCAACCUGCCUUUCAGUGGGGGACAACAGUUGGAAACGACUGCUAAUACCGCAUAACGUGCCGGAAGGGCAUCCUUUUGGUACCAAAGAUUUAUCGCUGGAAGAUGGGCUCGCGUCUGAUUAGAUAGUUGGUGAGGUAACGGCCCACCAAGUCGACGAUCAGUAGCCGGACUGAGAGGUUGAUCGGCCACAUUGGGACUGAGACACGGCCCAGACUCCUACGGAAGGCAGCAG